GCCUUGGGGCCUCUGAGCCCCAAAUCACGGGGUAAUCCGUCCCAUGCUGCAUCCGGACUAGAGGGCGCCCUGACGGCUGGAGGGAGGUCCACCCCGCGGAUUGCCACAACUCUCCCAAUACACAAGAGUGCAAUCGCGGCUAGUCAGAUGUAAACUGGGAAUAUCCUUUCACCACACCGAUGCUCCUCCUCUGCCCUCAAUGACAACUCCCUCCGAUAGUGCCUCUCUCCCAACAACAAACUGUCGCACUUUGCAGCCUUUGCAUCGCAGGAAACCAACAUGGCAGACGGCGCCGUCCAAUCUGAAGGAAGAAGAGGCGGAAUUGUGAUCAAAGAUGAUUGGCCAGGCUACAGUUUAGACCUCUUCAGCUACCCAGCUCACUACUCUGGCGAUUUAGACUGUGUCUACAUUCCACAUGGCGUGAUAAUGGACAGGACAGAACGUCUCGCUCGAAAUAUCAUGGAUGACCUGGGAGACCAUGACAUAGUGGUUCUGUGUGUGCUGAAAGGAGGCUACCAGUUCUGUGCAGACCUGGUGGAUAGGAUCAAAGCUCUCAGUCGCAACUCCAACCACACCAUCCCCAUGAGGGUUCACUUCAUCCGACUCAAGAGCUACGUGAAUGACCAGUCGACUGAGGAUCUCCACAUUCUUGGAGCCGAGGAUCUGUCUUCUUUAAAUGGCAAGAACGUACUGAUUGUGGAGGCCAUUGUAGACACAGGGAAGACAAUGAAGACUCUCCUGAAGCACGUGGAAGCUGCUGGGCCCAAAAUGAUCAAAGUAGCAGGUCUAGACGGAGAAGGAGAGAGUGAGGGACACCGAUUCCACAUGCUAUUAUUAAAAUGAAUAUUGUUUUCAUGAAGGCCGACACGACAGAUGUAGGCUUUGAGAUACCCAAUCGUUUUGUGGUCGGAUAUGCCUUAGACUACAAUGAGUACUUUAGAGACCUCAAUCAUAUCUGUGUGAUCAGUGAAAACGGGAAGAUGAAAUAUAAGAUCUAAAUGGAGGACUGCAGAAGAGGCUACUGUCACAUGGUGUGUUUCAGCAGCAAACCUGAACAUUUCCCAUGGCGACACAGUCACUUAAAACUGCUGUCAUGACGUUUAAUCUCAAACAUCCCUGUUCCUUUAUGGCAUUCGCUUGCAUACCUUCUAUCAAACAUGUAUCUCCUUUAGGAAUAAACACGUUUAACAUAUGGAUCUAGCAAAACAUUUAAUAUUUAACAGUGUUUGAAUGUUACAGCUGAGUUGAAUUAGCUGAAUUAGAGUUUGGGUAGUUCUGUUUUGAUUCAGUUUUAUUGAAAAGUAACAGUCAUCUCAAUUUUAAUGCUUUUCUAUGCAAAGUAAAGGACUCGAUAAUCACCACAUGAAUUUGAUGUAUUUUGUCAUAAGGUAGUGACACUAAACUCGAUGUCAGCUGUAUUUAAGAUGAAAGGGAGUUACACUGUUGUAUUUGGAAAUUUCUGUGCCUUUUGGUAAUAGAAUGAUAGACCAUCUUCAUCUCCACUUGUCUUUUUAAUGUUCCAUAUAGAUAUUUGUCUUGCUGUCGCCUUUGUUGCUCAGGGGCAAACAAAAAGAUUUGUGAACACUAAGUGUACUAACUACCUCUUGUCAAUGUAGUGGGGUUCUUGUAUCAUUCCUGUAUUUUCUUUUAUAUUAUUUAACACACAGUAAAGUAUGUGAUUCUGAGCAUUUCAGCUA
Molecule: RNA transcript, 1697 nt
Organism: Myripristis murdjan (pinecone soldierfish)
Lineage: Eukaryota; Metazoa; Chordata; Actinopteri; Holocentriformes; Holocentridae
Gene: prtfdc1b
Gene name: phosphoribosyl transferase domain containing 1b
Exons: 9
Source: RefSeq, a predicted model, not a curated record